GCCGUGUUGGCGUAGUGGUAGCGCGUCUCACUCGUAUUCUCCUGUUCUGACUACAUGAGAAGGUCACUUGUUCAAUCCAGGUACGCGGCA
Molecule: non-coding RNA, 90 nt
Organism: Tricholoma furcatifolium
Lineage: Eukaryota; Fungi; Basidiomycota; Agaricomycetes; Agaricales; Tricholomataceae
Source: the annotation of a GenBank genome assembly